RNAcentral lists this unclassified non-coding RNA (234 nucleotides) under Hevea brasiliensis (rubber tree). Lineage: Eukaryota; Viridiplantae; Streptophyta; Magnoliopsida; Malpighiales; Euphorbiaceae. The record is from RNAcentral.
CUCCUCUGCUUCACUCACACUGUGAAUUCUGACCAACCACAUUAGUAUCAUCGGAUUGAUGCUGGGCAAAAGUGCCAGCAGCAGGAGAUACGAGGUGGGUUUGUUGUUGAAUAUUGUUUGAUAUACUUGUAUUAAUAUUGCUCCACUUAAACCAAGAAAUCCCUUCAUGAUGCCAACGGCAGUGCCGCUAUAGUUGAGGAAAUUCCGCACAGAAGUGACGACAUUAGCGGUAUU